UGGGGAAUAUUGGACAAUGGGCGCAAGCCUGAUCCAGCCAUGCCGCGUGAGUGAUGAAGGCCCUAGGGUUGUAAAGCUCUUUCACCGGUGAAGAUAAUGACGGUAACCGGAGAAGAAGCCCCGGCUAACUUCGUGCCAGCAGCCGCGGUAAUACGAAGGGGGCUAGCGUUGUUCGGAUUUACUGGGCGUAAAGCGCACGUAGGCGGACUAUUAAGUCAGGGGUGAAAUCCCGGGGCUCAACCCCGGAACUGCCUUUGAUACUGGUAGUCUUGAGUUCGAGAGAGGUGAGUGGAAUUCCGAGUGUAGAGGUGAAAUUCGUAGAUAUUCGGAGGAACACCAGUGGCGAAGGCGGCUCACUGGCUCGAUGCUGACGCUGAGGUGCGAAAGCGUGGGGAGCAAACAGG
This 404-nucleotide ribosomal RNA is filed under the name Actinomycetes bacterium. Its description in RNAcentral is "Actinobacteria bacterium partial 16S ribosomal RNA". It matches the Rfam family "Bacterial small subunit ribosomal RNA", at positions 355 to 776 of the family's 1533-position model. The record is from RNAcentral. Lineage: Bacteria; Bacillati; Actinomycetota; Actinomycetes.